This 28-nucleotide non-coding RNA is filed under the name Macaca fascicularis (crab-eating macaque). RNAcentral also lists the same sequence under 1 other name. Lineage: Eukaryota; Metazoa; Chordata; Mammalia; Primates; Cercopithecidae. The record is from RNAcentral.
UCCACAAGCCAGGCCUCACAGGAGUCCC